This 890-nucleotide unclassified non-coding RNA is filed under the name Hevea brasiliensis (rubber tree). Lineage: Eukaryota; Viridiplantae; Streptophyta; Magnoliopsida; Malpighiales; Euphorbiaceae. The record is from RNAcentral.
CAUUUGAGGGCUUUAACUGCUGUUAAUUUGAGCAAAGGCAUGGCCAAAUAAUAAAUGAAAAGUUUUCAACAAUAUGAAUGAGCAAAUAAAUAAAUUAGACUAUUAACCCCUUAUUUAGUGCAUAUGGAAUUGGUUUUUGGGAAUGGACAGUAGACUUUUCAAUUCCUUUGUUUGAAGCAUUGUCUAGAAUUGGAAUUACAAAACCCAGUCCAUUUCUACAGAAUUGAAAAAUAACUAGAAAUGCAUCUUUACAUUUUUUAAGAAGGUGCCUAAAAAUUAGAAUUCCAAAUUUCAGUCUCCUCUGUUUUUCAAUUACAUCUGCUCCAUGUCUCCCAACACAUCACAAGGUUUCUCUCUAACCGCUGCCCACACCUCAACCUGAAGUUCACCAUCAAGCGCAGUCAGCAGCACUGUCAAUGGACAAACAACUGGCUACCAACUUUGCAAUCAAGACAUCAAUAUUGAUUUUCUCAUUCUUAAGACCACCUAUCCCUUUCUUCUUAUCCACAAUCUUCAAUCCUCAGUCACUACAAAAGAUUAUCCCAAUAUGGUAGUAUUCCUACCAAUCACUAGAUGUGGCUAGAUUUUCUUUUUAUUUCACCCUUUUAAUCACAACAUAUAAUAUUUCAAAAGUAUAUCUUCGGUUCUUUAUAUAUAUAUGUUUCAUUUUCAUUUGUUUUCAUCACUAGUUAGAGGGAUAAGUGGCAUCAUCAGCCGUUAAGCUUAUGGCUUUUCUUCCCUGAGUUCUGGUCUAAUUGCGGUAGAGGUUAUUUUGUACUUGCAAGGUAUUAUACGUGGAUGUGUUUGUACAGAAAGCAGAAAAUACAAGGAAAAAAAAAAUUCUACUGGACAAUUUAUUAGCCAACCUGUUUCCCAGAAUUUGUAGAUGG